This 78-nucleotide small nuclear RNA is filed under the name Salvator merianae (Argentine black and white tegu). The record is from RNAcentral. Lineage: Eukaryota; Metazoa; Chordata; Lepidosauria; Squamata; Teiidae.
AUGCUCGUUCCGGCAGCAUUCAUACUAAAAUUGGAACGAUAUGGAGAAGGUUAGCUUGGAUCCUGUGCAAGGAUGACA